This 292-nucleotide unclassified non-coding RNA is filed under the name uncultured fungus. RNAcentral's name for it is "partial contains 5.8S ribosomal RNA and internal transcribed spacer 2". The stretch from base 1 to 131 matches the Rfam family "5.8S ribosomal RNA", at positions 22 to 154 of the family's 154-position model. The record is from RNAcentral. Lineage: Eukaryota; Fungi.
UGGCUCUCGCAUNGAUGAAGAACGCAGCGAAGCGCGAAAUGUAGUGUGAAUCGCAGAACAUUGUGAAUCAUCGAAUCUUUGAACGCACAUUGCGCCUCUCGUAACUGGGAGGCAUGCCUGUCUGAGCUUCAUUUAAUCCAAUAAACCCGAAUGGGUUUGUGCUGGGCCCCGCCUGUUGGCGUCGCCUCAAAGUCAUCUGUCUUACAAGCGGACGAGAUCCACUAGGACUAACCGUCUGUGGGACCCUAAAAUCUCUUGACUUGAACUCAGAUCAGGUAGGACUACCGCCUGA